RNAcentral lists this ribosomal RNA (429 nucleotides) under Bacteroidota bacterium. Its description in RNAcentral is "Bacteroidetes bacterium partial 16S ribosomal RNA". It matches the Rfam family "Bacterial small subunit ribosomal RNA", at positions 355 to 776 of the family's 1533-position model. The record is from RNAcentral. Lineage: Bacteria; Pseudomonadati; Bacteroidota.
UAGGGAAUCUUCCGCAAUGGACGCAAGUCUGACGGAGCAACGCCGCGUGAGUGAAGAAGGAUUUCGGUUCGUAAAACUCUGUUGUUAGAGAAGAACAGCGCAUAGAGUAACUGUUAUGCGUGUGACGGUAUCUAACCAGAAAGCCACGGCUAACUACGUGCCAGCAGCCGCGGUAAUACGUAGGUGGCAAGCGUUGUCCGGAUUUAUUGGGCGUAAAGCGAGCGCAGGCGGUCAAUUAAGUCUGAUGUGAAAGCCCCCGGCUCAACCGGGGAGGGUCAUUGGAAACUGGUUGACUUGAGUGCAGAAGAUGAGAGUGGAAUUCCAUGUGUAGCGGUGAAAUGCGUAGAUAUAUGGAGGAACACCAGUGGCGAAGGCGACUCUCUGGUCUGUAACUGACGCUGAGGCUCGAAAGCGUGGGUAGCAAACAGG